AGACCAUAUCUGGAAUGUGCCUGCUGGGGCUUGGACACGGAGUCUGUUCCAGGACUUUUGCUCCAUGAUGAUGUGGAAGGUGACUCUUCAGUUGGCCAGCUCCAAGUUUCCCUUUAUUCCAACUUGGAACCAUGGUGGAGAAGAGACACUGAACAUGAGGCAGGAGGCACAUGGAGCCACAUCCCCAGUGCCACCAUGAAUCCAUGUCCCAAGACGUUCCUGUCAUCUGUCACCUCAACCCAUCCAUCCACCAGCCUGCAAAGAGAAAUGUCAGGGAGUGCUGGGGAAGGCGACACCCAUGGAGGAGCCUCUGGUUUGGGAAAAGGGGAGCUGGGAAUGCUGCCCUCCUCCCUGCUUGUUUACCCUAUGGCAAGUGCAUCUUUGGGGAGCGCUGUGACUCCGAGAUAUGAGAAGAAAUUCUUCAGUAAACACAAAUGACAUUUGGCAUAUAAAUAAGUUAGGGAAUACUCCUGCACAAGCAGUGCAGGUCAACAGUGAUCUUUUAUCUCCUGGAGUAGAGUCGGCUCCUUUGGAAAUGGAAAAAAGUGCAAAGUGUUUGUGGAAGUGGUGGUGGAAAGGAGAAUCCUGGUCCUGGUCCAGAAGCGGGAAAAGCUGAACUUUUUUUCCCGAGUGCUGGACGCAGCCCCCAUAAAUAUGGAGCAUUUGUUGUGGCCGCCUCACGGAUGCCCAG
This is a long non-coding RNA of Haemorhous mexicanus (house finch), 691 nucleotides long. RefSeq lists it as uncharacterized. NCBI's taxonomy places the organism in Eukaryota, Metazoa, Chordata, Aves, Passeriformes, Fringillidae. The record is from RefSeq and is a predicted model, not a curated record. The transcript is spliced from 3 exons.